GAUGAACGCUGGCGGCGUGCCUAAUACAUGCAAGUCGAGCGAACAGAUGAGGAGCUUGCUCCUCUGACGUUAGCGGCGGACGGGUGAGUAACACGUGGAUAACCUACCUAUAAGACUGGGAUAACUUCGGGAAACCGGAGCUAAUACCGGAUAAUAUAUUGAACCGCAUGGUUCAAUAGUGAAAGACGGUUUUGCUGUCACUUAUAGAUGGAUCCGCGCCGCAUUAGCUAGUUGGUAGGGUAACGGCUUACCAAGGCGACGAUGCGUAGCCGACCUGAGAGGGUGAUCGGCCACACUGGAACGGAGACACGGUCCAGACUCCUACGGGAGGCAGCAGUGGGGAAUCUUCCGCAAUGGGCGAAAGCCUGACGGAGCAACGCCGCGUGAGUGAUGAAGGUCUUCGGAUCGUAAAACUCUGUUAUUAGGGAAGAACAAAUGUGUAAGUAACUAUGCACGUCUUGACGGUACCUAAUCAGAAAGCCACGGCUAACUACGUG
This 497-nucleotide ribosomal RNA is filed under the name uncultured bacterium. RNAcentral describes it as "partial 16S ribosomal RNA". It matches the Rfam family "Bacterial small subunit ribosomal RNA", at positions 28 to 507 of the family's 1533-position model. The record is from RNAcentral.